This 459-nucleotide ribosomal RNA is filed under the name uncultured bacterium. RNAcentral describes it as "partial 16S ribosomal RNA". It matches the Rfam family "Bacterial small subunit ribosomal RNA", at positions 338 to 795 of the family's 1533-position model. The record is from RNAcentral.
CCUACGGGCGGCAGCAGUGAGGAAUAUUGGUCAAUGGUCGGGAGACUGAACCAGCCAAGCCGCGUGAGGGAGGAAGGUACAGAGCAUCGUAAACCUCUUUUGUCAGGGAACAAAGACUCGGACGCGUCCCCGCAUGAGUGUACCCGAAGAAAAAGCAUCGGCUAACUCCGUGCCAGCAGCCGCGGUAAUACGGAGGAUGCGAGCGUUAUCCGGAUUUAUUGGGUUUAAAGGGUGCGCAGGCGGUCUGUUAAGUCAGCGGUCAAAGCCCGGGGCUCAACCCCGGCCCGCCGUUGCAACUGGGAGUGUCGAGUGGGAGAGAGGUAUGCGGAAUGCGCGGUGUAGCGGUGAAAUGCAUAGAUAUCGCGCAGAACGCCGAUUGCGAAGGCAGCAUGCCGGCCCCACACUGACGCUGAGGCACGAAAGCGUGGGUAUCGAACAGGAUUAGAUACCCUUGUAGUC